UAGCAAACUAUGGGUGAAUCAAUGUUGAAUCUAUGUUGAGACCUAACGUCGAAAUUAUACAGAAAGCGCAAGGUUGAUAAAAUGUUGAGUCAACGUUUGCUUUUCAACCAUAAAUCACACUUUACCCAGAUAGCAAAAGAUGUUAAAUCAACGUUGAAUUAGGGUUAAGAAGGUUGAAUUGUGGUUACGGUUGAAGACUGAUGGUUGGAUCAACGUUGAUUCAACAACAUUUUGUCAACAUUGAAGUUUGUGUUUCAAAGAUACCACUGAAUCUACGUUGUAUUUUGGUUUAAUUAAAAUGUUUGACAAGUCAAUGUUUAAUUAAUGUUGAAUCUAUGUUUGCAAACAUGUAAUCUAUGUAAGCAAACGUUGACUCAACAUUUUAUCAACCUUGCGCUUUCUGUAUAAUUUCUACGUUAGGUCUCAACAUAGAUUCAACAUUGAUUCACCCAUAGUUUGC
Molecule: long non-coding RNA, 460 nt
Organism: Acanthochromis polyacanthus (spiny chromis)
Lineage: Eukaryota; Metazoa; Chordata; Actinopteri; Pomacentridae
Exons: 3
Source: RefSeq, a predicted model, not a curated record